CAGACAUAGAUGCAUUACUUGAAAAUGCCAGCACAUGACAUCGGCUGAGGACUGCGCUCUGUGCCCUUCUGCUAGAUCUUAGUGCUGGUGUGCAGGGGUUAUACAAGGCCCUUCACCCUGCAGGACUCAACGCAGAGGGAUUCUUUAGAGCAUACAACUGCAAAGCAAUCCUGCAGGACAAACCUAAAAUCAGCUUUGCAUCGUAAACCAGUGACACUGCAUCCUCUUUCAACAUAUGCUCACGAUUAAUGCCAGAAUGCUGCGUGAGGAACAUAUUGGAUACAGACUUCUUUCUUAAACUGAGAGAGAGGUGUCACCGAAAUCAUUAUCAUCUCUGAUCAGCCGUUUUGACUGUCAUGAUCUGCUGUGCUUUUAUCUGCAGGGUUUGUGGAUGGGAAUGUAAACUGACAAGGAACGUAUUUAUAGUCUCAUUAUGCUUCCUGUUUGUUUAUGUCAUCCGUGGUUCUUGGCCUUGAAGAUAAGGUCAUUAUUGUGGUUUUUCGUAUUUCAUAGCAUUGACCGCUGAAGACAGAUUUCCAGUUGCCUGACUGACAAAAGUACACUUGCACCGGAUGAUACAUUUGGGGUUAAAACGUGGCUCGUUCUCCCGCAUGAGACAUGUGGGACAUCAUUUGGUCGCCACACAGCGCACGCACCCUCACCGGGACAGCCGGACAGCCCCGAGAUCAAAGCCUGCCAAAUUCCCUGGUGAUUAUUCCCCUUUUGGGUCCGAUGUCAUGAUCAGAGACUGCAGCGGGGAGGCAGCGUACUCAGUCAAACAAGCUACGUAACAUUCAUUCGCCAUGCCAGAUCUAUUGCAAAGGCACACAUUCAUCCUUGUGCACGCACACAUGGACCCAGAUGAGGCGCGGAGGCAGCUGUGCUGUCACCCUGUGUCUAAUAUAGACGGAGAGCGGGUGAAGAAACGAUUGGACGCAGUGAGACACUCGGUCAACUUGGGGGGGGGCUGAGAACAUCAGGACGAUGAUGAACUCCUUUUCUACAGGCUCCACAGUAUAAACUCGUGAGAAUUACGACCUGCUUGGGUUUCUGCAGUAACGUAUCAGCUGAAACAACAGAUUAAGCAGUUCAACUGUAUCUUCAAAGCCUUUUCCAAAAGUCUGAUUUAUCAUUUUAAAGACGGACUGUGGCUGCUUUCUCAUGGACAUCAUUAAACUGAAUUACAACAUGGUUUAAUUAACAGACCGUUUGGGUAAUAUGCAUAUUUGCGUUCUCGCGGAGGGCUAAUUGAGAAGAUCAAUAACACCUUCAGUUAUGUACUUGUGCCAGGAGACGAUUAGCUUAGCUUCUCAGGAAGCCACCAGAGAGACUCGCAAUGUAUGGAACCAAAUCCAGGUCAAAAGUUUUGUACAUUUGAAAAUCAAAUGUGAACCUGAAAGUUUAAGUUUUAUUGUUGAACAUUGAAAAAUACAACAAUAUAUUCAAAAUAAAAAUAAGUGGACGA
Molecule: long non-coding RNA, 1465 nt
Organism: Gasterosteus aculeatus aculeatus (three-spined stickleback)
Lineage: Eukaryota; Metazoa; Chordata; Actinopteri; Perciformes; Gasterosteidae
Source: Ensembl